RNAcentral lists this ribosomal RNA (260 nucleotides) under uncultured bacterium. Its description in RNAcentral is "partial 16S ribosomal RNA". It matches the Rfam family "Bacterial small subunit ribosomal RNA", at positions 524 to 777 of the family's 1533-position model. The record is from RNAcentral.
GACGUAGGUGGCGAACGUUUAUCCGGAAUUAUUGGGCGUAAAGGGUGCGUAGGCGGCAUGAUAAGUUAUUGGCGGCAAAUCGAGGCUCAACCUCGUGGAAACUGAUAAUACUGUCUUGCUUGAGUGCAGAAGAGGUUAACGGAACUCCAUGUGGAGCGGUAAAAUGUGUAGAUAUAUGGAAGAACAUCAAUAACGGCGAAGGCAGUUAACUAUUCUGUUACUGACGUUGAGGCACGAAAAGCGUGGGGGAGCAAAAAAGG